UUCUGAAAAAAUUAUUACAUCUAGCGAUAUAUGACAUCUUAUGUUAAAAUUAUGACUUUUUAUACAGAAUAUCAUAAUUUUUUGAUAAGAUGUCAUAAUUUUGAUAAGAAUAUUUUCGUCAUUUAAAAAUUUUAUAAAUUUUUUAAUGAUGAACAUGUAAUUCUUUCUUCGAUAAAAAAAUUAUGAAAUUCUGUACAAAAAGUUAUAAUUUUAACACAUGAUGUC
This 225-nucleotide long non-coding RNA is filed under the name Elaeis guineensis (African oil palm). RNAcentral describes it as "long non-coding RNA (EGUI_LNC011315)". Lineage: Eukaryota; Viridiplantae; Streptophyta; Magnoliopsida; Arecales; Arecaceae. The record is from RNAcentral.